RNAcentral lists this ribosomal RNA (430 nucleotides) under Bacillota bacterium. RNAcentral describes it as "Firmicutes bacterium partial 16S ribosomal RNA". It matches the Rfam family "Bacterial small subunit ribosomal RNA", at positions 355 to 777 of the family's 1533-position model. RNAcentral also lists the same sequence under 1 other name. The record is from RNAcentral. Lineage: Bacteria; Bacillati; Bacillota.
UGGGGAAUUUUGGACAAUGGGCGAAAGCCUGAUCCAGCAAUGCCGCGUGUGUGAAGAAGGCCUUCGGGUUGUAAAGCACUUUUGUCCGGAAAGAAAUGGCUCUGGUUAAUACCUGGGGUCGAUGACGGUACCGGAAGAAUAAGGACCGGCUAACUACGUGCCAGCAGCCGCGGUAAUACGUAGGGUCCAAGCGUUAAUCGGAAUUACUGGGCGUAAAGCGUGCGCAGGCGGUUGUGCAAGACCGAUGUGAAAUCCCCGAGCUUAACUUGGGAAUUGCAUUGGUGACUGCACGGCUAGAGUGUGUCAGAGGGGGGUAGAAUUCCACGUGUAGCAGUGAAAUGCGUAGAGAUGUGGAGGAAUACCGAUGGCGAAGGCAGCCCCCUGGGAUAACACUGACGCUCAUGCACGAAAGCGUGGGGAGCAAACAGGA